This is a long non-coding RNA of Sphaeramia orbicularis (orbiculate cardinalfish), 734 nucleotides long. RefSeq lists it as uncharacterized. The transcript has 2 exons. The record is from RefSeq and is a predicted model, not a curated record. Lineage: Eukaryota; Metazoa; Chordata; Actinopteri; Kurtiformes; Apogonidae.
AUCUGGAACUAAAGGAACAUCAGCAGAAGACCAAGUGGAUUUAAGGAUUAUUUUGGAGAUAAAUAAACACGUCUUCUAUUACAUGAAAAAAGAAGAACUUGAAUGACUUGAAGAAUCUGGACAAAUGAAGGACUGACGGUUCCUUCGUGGAGUUUUUUUUUUGACCCAGGCUCUGGACGUCUGAAGAUAAACCAGACCCGGUUCAUUUGUAGUCCUGGUUCUGGAGCUUUGGAUUCCACACCCUGAAGGCUUCAGGUCUUUGAAGGAUUAGACUCCGGAGGGUUCUCCGCAUAAUUCAUCCGACUCGGGAGAAGGUGAAGCUGAGGAGAUAACACCGACUUUGGGAUCCGGGUUCUGCAGAGUCCAGGAUCCAGGAAGGACCCUCUUGGGUGGGGGGGUGAGGUCUGGACGGACCCUGGAUGUGGAUUUACUUUGGACUCCGACACCUGUUGCGUUGACGGACGGACGUCGGCUUGUGUUUGGUUCAAGAUGAUGGAUUUCUGAAGAAUUUCCGUCAAACAUCGUCCAUUUUCCAACAUCAGCCAAAGUUUUUUUUGUCUUCGUUCAUUCGUUCGUCGUCUCCAGAACUCGUCUUCUGAAGGUCUUUCUGGUCUUUUCUCUGGAGGAAACCCCAGGACACAGAUUCAGUUCCUUCCUGUUUCCUGUCAUUCCGACCUGAGGGGAAAUGUGUGGUCGUCGGGUCGGACAUGAAACGGUCCGGUCUGAGCGCGGAC